UGGGGAAUUUUGGACAAUGGGCGAAAGCCUGAUCCAGCAAUGCCGCGUGUGUGAAGAAGGCCUUCGGGUUGUAAAGCACUUUUGUCCGGAAAGAAAUCCUUGGCUCUAAUACAGUCGGGGGAUGACGGUACCGGAAGAAUAAGCACCGGCUAACUACGUGCCAGCAGCCGCGGUAAUACGUAGGGUGCAAGCGUUAAUCGGAAUUACUGGGCGUAAAGCGUGCGCAGGCGGUUUGCUAAGACCGAUGUGAAAUCCCCGGGCUCAACCUGGGAACUGCAUUGGUGACUGGCAGGCUAGAGUAUGGCAGAGGGGGGUAGAAUUCCACGUGUAGCAGUGAAAUGCGUAGAGAUGUGGAGGAAUACCGAUGGCGAAGGCAGCCCCCCUGGGGCCAAAUACUGACGCUCAUGCACGAAAGCGUGGGGGAGCAAACAGGAUUAGAUACCCUGGUAGUCCACGCCCUAAACGAUGUCAACUAGUUGUUGGGGAUUCAUUUCCUUAGUAACGUAGCUAACGCGUGAAGUUGACCGCCUGGGGAGUACGGUCGCAA
Molecule: ribosomal RNA, 547 nt
Filed under: uncultured bacterium
Lineage: Bacteria
Description: partial 16S ribosomal RNA
Rfam family: Bacterial small subunit ribosomal RNA
Source: RNAcentral